This 253-nucleotide ribosomal RNA is filed under the name uncultured bacterium. RNAcentral describes it as "partial 16S ribosomal RNA". It matches the Rfam family "Bacterial small subunit ribosomal RNA", at positions 524 to 776 of the family's 1533-position model. The record is from RNAcentral.
UACGUGGGGGGCGAACGUUGUUCGGUGUCACUGGGCUUAAAGGGUGCGUAGGUGGUUACGUAAGUAACGUGUGAAAGCCCUCGGCUUACCCGGGGAAUUGCGCGUUAUACUGCGUGACUUGAGGAUUUCAGGGGAAAGGGGAACUCCGAGUGUAGCGGUGAAAUGCGCAGAUAUUCGGGGGAAGGCCGGCGGCGAAGGCGCCUUUCUGGGAAAUUCCUGACACUGAGGCACGAAAGCGUGGGGAGCAAACAGG